Molecule: ribosomal RNA, 1243 nt
Filed under: metagenome
Description: bacterial LSU rRNA
Rfam family: Bacterial large subunit ribosomal RNA
Source: RNAcentral
UGAUGACGAGACGCUAAGGCGUUGAAGCAGUGUAUGUCAGACUUCCAAGAAAAGCUCGCAGUGUCACUAAUAAAAAAUGCCUGUACCAUAACCGACACAGGUGGGUAGGUAGAGUAUACUAAGGGGCGCGAGAUAACUCUCUCUAAGGAACUCGGCAAAAUGACUCCGUAACUUCGGGAGAAGGAGUGCCUUAUUUAUAAGGUUGCAAUAACAAGAUCCAAGCAACUGUUUAUCAAAAACACAGGUCUCCGCUAAGUCGUAAGACGAUGUAUGGGGGCUGACGCCUGCCCAGUGCCAGAAGGUUAAAGAAGUUGGUUAGUGUAUGCGAAGCUGAUGACUGAAGCCCUGGUGAACGGCGGCCGUAACUAUAACGGUCCUAAGGUAGCGAAAUUCCUUGUCGGGUAAGUUCCGACCCGCACGAAAGGCGUAAUGAUUUGGAUACUGUCUCGGAGAGAGGCUCGGUGAAAUAGACUUGUCUGUGAAGAUGCGGACUACCUGCACCAGGACAGAAAGACCCUAUGAAGCUUUACUGUAACUUGAAAUUGGAAUUGGACUUUGCUUGCGCAGUAUAGGUGGGAAGCGUUGAAAAUAUUCUUGCGGGAGUAUUGGAGCUAUCAGUGAGAUACCACUCUUGUAAUGUUAGAUUUCUAACUUUGAACCAUAAUCUGGUCAAAGAACAGUUUCAGGUGGGCAGUUUGACUGGGGCGGUCGCCUCCCAAAUGGUAACGGAGGCGUACAAAGGUUUCCUCUGAACGGAUAGAAAUCGUAUCUAGAGUGUAAAGGCAUAAGGAAGCUUGACUGUGAGACCUACAAGUCGAGCAGGGACGAAAGUCGGUCUUAGUGAUCUGACGGUACUGAGUGGAAAGGCCGUCACUCAACGGAUAAAAGUUACUCUAAGGAUAACAGGCUGAUCUCCCCCAAGAGUUCACAUCGACGGGGAGGUUUGGCACCUCGAUGUCGGCUCAUCGCAUCCUGGGGCGGUAGUACGUCCCAAGGGUUGGGCUGUUCGCCCAUGAAAGCGGUACGCGAGCUGGGUUCAGAACGUCGUGAGACAGUUCAGUCCAUAUCCGGUGUAGGCGCUAGAAUAUUGAGAGGAGCCUUCUUUAGUACGAGAGGACCGAGAAGGACACACCGCUGGUGUACCAGUUAUCGUGCCAACGGUAAACGCUGGGUAGCUAUGUGUGGAGUGGAUAACCGCUGAAAGCAUCUAAGUGGGAAGCCCACCUCGAGAUGAGUAUUCUCA